CGGGUGAGUAACACGUGAGUGACUUGCCUUUUAGACUGGAACAACUUACCGAAAGGUGAGCUAAUGCCGGAUGAGUUAUAUAAGUGCAUGUUUAUAUAGGAAAAGUUGGGGAGACCUGACGCUGAAAGAUGGACUCGCGUCCCAUUAGCUAGUUGGUAGGGUAAUGGCCUACCAAGGCGACGAUGGGUAGCCGGCCUGAGAGGGUGGCCGGCCACACUGGGACUGAGACACGGCCCAGACUCCUACGGGAGGCAGCAG
This 258-nucleotide ribosomal RNA is filed under the name uncultured bacterium. RNAcentral's name for it is "partial 16S ribosomal RNA". It matches the Rfam family "Bacterial small subunit ribosomal RNA", at positions 103 to 354 of the family's 1533-position model. The record is from RNAcentral.